GGGCCCGCACAAGCAGCGGAGCGUGUGGUUUAAUUCGAGGCUACACGAAAAACCUUACCUGGGUUUGACAUCCCACGAAUGAACCUGAAAAGGGGAAGUCCCUACGGGGCGUGGAGACAGGUGCUGCAUGGCUGUCGUCAGCUCGUGUCGUGAGAUGUUCGGUUAAGUCCGAAAACGAGCGCAACCCUCGGUGCUAGUUACAGGUGUCUAGCACAACUGCCAGCGGCAAGCUGGAGGAAGGUGGGGAUGAUGUCAAGUCAGCAUGGCCUUUAUAUCCAGGGCUACACACACGCUACAAUGGCGCGUACAAUGGGUCGCGAAGCCGCGAGGCGGAGCCAAUCCUGCAAAGCGCGUCGUAGUUCGGAUUGUAGGCUGCAACUCGCCUGCAUGAAGCCGGAGUUGCUAGUAACCGCAGGUCAGCAUACUGCGGUGAAUACGUUCCCGGGCCUU
Molecule: ribosomal RNA, 450 nt
Filed under: uncultured bacterium
Lineage: Bacteria
Description: bacterial SSU rRNA
Rfam family: Bacterial small subunit ribosomal RNA
Source: RNAcentral